Molecule: long non-coding RNA, 689 nt
Organism: Vicia villosa (hairy vetch)
Lineage: Eukaryota; Viridiplantae; Streptophyta; Magnoliopsida; Fabales; Fabaceae
Exons: 3
Source: RefSeq, a predicted model, not a curated record
AAACACAAUAAGAAAAAAAAAACAUUUCAGAUUCAAUUUCCAAAUUUCACUCACGUUCUCUCCAAAAGAACCCUAAUUUCGUUUUCCCCCAAUUUCUUCUUCCCUCAAUUUCUUGAUGAAAUCAUUUAGCUAGCAAUUCAACACAACGUUUUGGUGCUACAAUCGCAAUUCAAUUCAACGUUUCGGGGCUACAAUCGCAAUUCAUCUCAGCAUCGCAAAUUCAAAUCAGCAUCGCAACUCAACGUUUCGUAUUCUCGUAAUCGUUGGCUUCUUACUCGAUAUCAUUGGGUUGUUUAUAGCUAUCGCUUGACAUUGCUUUGAUUUCCAAGUUCUACAAAGCUAAAAAGGUUCUUUAACUUGAAGAUGAGCAAUGAUGAGAAUGGCAUGCAAAGAAGAGGUCGAAAGGUGAAGAAAUUGAGUGGCUCAAAUCAGUUGGAAUUCUCUUGUAGCUUAGGGACUUUGAUUUUAUGCAACUCGAAUUCAACUUGUUUCAACUUGGGAUAUGUAGCUAGUAGUCUAGUACUGUAUGUAAUCUUGAAUUUGAAUCUUGUUUCACUUAGAAAUUCUCUUUUGUAAUUCAAGAACUUGAUGUAAUUAAAAUCGAAAGAUUUGUACUAAUUUUGUAUCACUUUUUCUAAACUUAUUAACAUUAAUUAUGUCAUUUCAGACUAGUGUAUGUCUAGUUUACU